CAUGUGACAGACAUGCGUGCUGGCCUGGGAGGAGGAGAGGGUAGCCGGAAUACCUCUGCGAGUUUCCUUCAGCACUCCAGGAGCCGCGGAACGCUCCAACUGCUCUUCAUGGAUGACUUCACCAACAAACUGGGCUCCUACCGCACCUUCUCCCAGCUCUCUGUGUUCCGCAAUCUCACCCGCAUCAACUCGCUGCCCUGAGCAGAGCCUGUCCUCCGCCCAUUCACCAACUGUUAAACGUUAUAGGUUUGGCUUCACCCCUGAGAGCAGUGUCCCAUGCAGCAAGCUCAGUGCUUCUCUCCGGGGAGUCUUUCUUUGGUGUCCGGGCGCCUCUCUGUUGGCAACAAGAUGAUUUGCCACACAGAAACAGUCAAAAUUGUCUGGGUGCGCUGGCUCACACCUGUAAUCGCAGCACUUUGGGAGGCUGAGGCUGCCGGAUCACGAAGUCAGGAAUCUGAGAUUACCCUGACCAACCUGGUGAAACCCGGUCUCUACUGAAAAUACAAAAAUUAGCCCGGCGUGGUGACGCAUGCCUGUAGUCCCAGCUACGUUGCGGGAGGUUGAGACAGGAGAAUUGCUUGAACCCGGGAGGCAAAAGUUAGAAUGAGCUGAGAACUUGCCCUUGCCCUGCAGCAAGACUCUGUCUCCAAAAAAAAAAAAAAAGAGUAAAGAUUUCUCCUCCAGGGCACUAAUGGACUUGACUGUCUUUGCCUGGUGAGCUGUCAUCCAAAAUCCCCACGCCUGCAUCUUUGACCAUUCAAAAAUGAGCUGAGAGCUCUAGGAGGGUGCCAGGAAGACCUAGCAAAAGAGGAGGACCGUAAGAGAAGCGGCCCCAUAUACAGUGGGAGUGCACCAUCAUCAUCUAGGCCUCUGGACACCACUGGAGUGCUCACUUUUUAAAAAAAUUCUUUCUUUUUUUUUUUUUAAAUUAGAAAUGGGGUUUCUCCAUGUUGGUCAGGCUGGUCUCGAACUCCCGACCUCAAAUGAUCUGCCUGCCUCGGCCUCCCAAAGUGCUCGGAUUACAGACAUGAGCCACUGUGCCCAGCCAUUGGAGUUCUCACUUUCUUCAGUGUAAGUCUGAGCCUCUGAUGGGAAAUCUCAAUUCCAAAUUCCCAGAAGACAGCAUUGGUAAGAAAGGAGUGCUGGAUGAAGACUGUAGACCCAGGAGGUCCUUCACCAAAGGUGGCACCAUUACCAGCACAUACAGCCCUGCUGGAGGUGUCACGUGCAUUUGCAGAGUGAUCCAGGUGCUGCAGGGCUCUUGGCCCAUGGAAUCAUGCUCCCUGAUGUCAAGAGAUAGGCACAGGAAGUGCCAGAUGCAGGCCAUGGGUCCAGCUCCCCAGCCUUGCUGAUGCAGGGAAGAAGAUGCAGGGAAAAAAGCUUCCAAAGACUUGGUCAAGGUAAAAACCCUCAGAGGCGAUUAUGAUCACCUCUAUGCACACAAACUAGAAAACCUGUAAGAAAUGGAUAACUUCCUGAAAUCAUAAAGCCUCCCAUGUUUGAACCAGGAAGAAAUUGAAACCCUAAACAAAGACUCCUUCAAGGAAGAAUUCUCCGCCCACAUCUUGCAAUUGAAGGCCUUGUAAAUGGAAAAUGUCAAGGUUGUUGAUGCUGCCUGGGCUGCCACUGUCACUACCACUGCUCCUGUACCCUCCAUCAACUGGCUCUUGAUCCCCAUCACUCUUGCUCUUCUCAGGCCUCCCUAUUUCCUGAGAAACAACAAUAUUGAAAUCAGGUCAAUGAAUAACUCCAAAAUAACCUCUAAAUGUUCAAAUGAAAGAGUCAUGCAUCUCUCACUUUAGAAGAAAGGCUAGAAAUAAUUAAGAUUAUUGAGGAAAGCAUAUUGAAUGCUGAGACAGGCUGAAAGCUGGGCCUUUUGCACCAAACACUUAGCCAAGUUGUGAAUGCAAAAAAAAGUUCUUAAAGGAAAUUAAAUGUCCUAAUCCACUGAAUACAAGAGCAAUAAGAAAGGAAAACAGCAUUAUUGCUGGUAUGGAGAAAGUUUGAGUGGUCUGGAUAGAGACCGUAGUGCUUAGUUCUCUAGAGAAUUAGCAAGGCCCUAACUCUCUUCAGCUCUAUGAAACUUCAGAGAGGUGAGGAAGCUGCAGAAGAAAAGCUGGAAGCUAACAGAGUUUGGUUUAUGAGGUUCGAGGAGAGAAGCCAUUUCAAUAAAAGUGCAAGGUGGUGAAGCAGUAAGUGCUGCUAUAGACGCUGCAGUAAAUUAUCCAGAAAAUCUGGCUAAGAUAAUGGGUGAAGGUGCCUACACAAAACAGCAGAUUUUCAAUGUACACAAAACAGCCUUCUGUUGGAAGAAGAUGCCAUGUGGGACUUUCAUGGCUAGAGAAGAUAAAUCAAUUAUUAGAUUCAAGGCUUCAAAGGACUUUCUGACUUCCUUGUUAGGAGUUAAUGCAGUUGGAGACUUUAAACUGAAUCAAUGCUCAUCUACCAUUCUGAUGAUCCAAGGGCCCUUAAGAAUUAUGCUAAACAUACUCUGCAUGGGAUCUGUAAAUGAAACUACAAAGCCUAGAUGACAGCACAUCUGUUUAUAGCCUGGUUUACUGAAUAUUUUAUGCCUACUAUUAAGACCCACUGCUCAGAAAAAAAAGUCUUUUAAAAAAAUAUUACUGCUCUUUUACAACACAUCUGGUUACCCUCAAGCUCUGAUGGAGAUCUACAAAGAGAUUAAUAUUGUUUUCAUGCAUACUAACACACCAUCCACUCUGCAGCCCAUGAAUCAAGGAGUAAUUUUUUACUUGUACAUCUUAUUAUGUAAGAACUACAUUUUGCAAAGCUCUUGUUUUCAUAGACAGUAAUUCCUCUGAUGGAUAUGGGCAAAGUAAAUUGAAAACCUUCUGGAAAAGAUUUAUCAUUCUAGAUGUCAUUCAAAACAUUUGUGAUUUAUGUAGGGAGGCCAAAAUAUCAAUAUUAACAGCAGUUUGUAAGAAGUUUUCAACCCUCAUGGAUGACUUUGAGGGACUGAACUUUUCAGUGGAGGAAGUAACUUCAGAUGUAGAAGAAAUAACAAGACAACUAGAAUUAUAAGUAUAGCCUGAAGAUAUGACUGAAUUGCUGCAAUUUCAUAAUAAAACUGAAAAGAUGAGGAGUUGCUUCUUAUAGAUAAGCAAAGAAAUUGGUUUCUUGAGAUGAAAUCUAGUCCUGGUUAAGAUACUGUUAACAUUGUUAAGAUGACAACUAUUACAUAAUUUGCUAAGUCAACAGAGCAAUAUUUAAGAUCAUUGAUUCCAAUUCUGAAAGAAUUUGUAUUGCAUGCAAAGUGUUGUCAAACAACAUCAUAUGCUACAGACAAAUUUUUAUGAAAAGAAAAAAUUUCUGUGUGAUAAAUUCUAUUGUUGUUUUAUCUUAAGAACUUUCCACAACCCCCGAAACCUUCGGAAACCAACAACUUGACCAGUCAGCAGCCGUCGACAUCAGGGCAACACCCCCCACCAGCACAGAAUAUGACUUACUGAAGCCUCAGAUGGUUGUUAGCAUUUUUUCAUCAAUAAAGCACUUUUAAUUAAGCUUUCUCUUGCCUGUUUUCUCAUCAAGUGAUCUGUACAUACUGGUUCUCCUUCACCAUCUGCCAUGAGUGGAAGCAGCCUGAGUCCCUCUCCAGAAGCAGACUCAGGCACCAAAGUUCCUAUAAGCCUGCAGAACUGUGAGCUAAAUGAACCUGCUUUCUUUGUAAAUUAUUCAGCCUCAGGUCUUUUUAGCAACACAAAAACAGACUAAAACAAAAAGUCAUUGAUAUUAAUGUAUUAACAUAAGCACAUUGCUUAUAUCCUGUGCCUAAUACAUAAUAUGUGCUCUAAAAAUAGUUUUCUUUUACUAAUACUAAGAAGAUACUACAUUUAGUCAACAAUGGAAAUCCUGAGGCUAACAUCUGGUUGUGGGUGAUGAAAGAAACUUGCUAUGAUUAUGCAUGGUUCUGUGACAACCAGAGGCUCAGCCUGGGACUCUGUUUUCUCUGACCUCACAGAAAAGACACAGCUGGUGAGUGAUGUCAGGGUGUAUCAAUGGAUUUAAGGACAUUUCUCUUACUUUAGUAAGCAAAUUCUUGAGCAUUUGGAUGCUGCAGUGAUUUGAAGAAAGCUGAUAAUAUAUUGUGACAGAAACUCCAAUUGUCAGCCUGGGUCGCCAGAGUUCAUGCCUCACAGGAAUCCAGAAAGAGAAAGCAUGUGCCUCAGCAUCUGGGAAGACACAUUUCUUAUGUGAUCCUCUUGGCUUUCUCGGUGAGACAGACAAUGAAGUGAGAAAGGGAGAAAGGAAAGAACAUUCGAUAGUCGCUGUCACAGAGAAAAGGAAUGGAAAAUUGGUUGGACCCGGGGGAUGAAGAUGUGCCUCUCAUGGACAUAGGCCAGUAGAGCCUGUUUCUGUGCCAUUAAAUUGAUAACAACGUGUUUGGAGAUGAGCAAGAUGGAACCGAUGAAGCAUCUGGACUGGAAAAUUCUCACAGUAGGACCUGCUAACUUGAUUCUCUCAUCACCAUGGCAACAGUCUUUGUCAGAAAUGACAAGAUAAAGAAUCCAAUAUAUUUCCUACGUCACUGGCCUGUCUGAAAGCUAAAGGCAAGUUUUACCAUAAUGUAUCUAUUCUGUUUUUUUUUAACAACUACUUCUCUGCUUCUUUUAAUGUAUUUUGUUCCUUCUAUUUAGUAUACGUUGUUCAUUUUCAUGGGCAUUUAGUUUUAUAAGAAAAUGGCUACUUUUAAAAGUAGUGUUUAAAAACUCACAAUAGUUGCAAUUAACCACACACCUUCCAAACCUUUGUCAGGUCCCAAGAACUGUUUUUAAAAACUUGUAGUCACUUAAGCCUUUGGAGAUUAGACAGUGAAUUCAAUAAUAUCAUCUUAAAAAAAUAAACUCACAAUAAUCAUGUGAAGAAAAUAUUAUCUAUGCCACUGUGCAAAUAAAGCAAAUCAUUUGAUUAAGAAGACAGAGCUCAUAAUAGCAACUAUAUGUUAAAGCUCAUUUUCUAAAUUCUAAAAUAGUAAUUUUUAAACCAGAUUAUUGCCCUUCAAAUUGUCUGCUUUUCUUCUUUGAUAUAUUUUAUUUAUUAUGACAGAGAGCGUGUGGGCUAUGCUACCCUGAAAUAAGGCAACUUGGGGGUCACCCCUUGAUUUUUUUGACCUUUCUCUGUGAGGGCUGCCCUCUGUAAGCAGGUCAAAAGACCCUCACGGGAGAGGUGUCAUGCUCUGAACCCAGGGGGAAGGAAUGUCACACAGUCACACAGGAAAGAAUCUAGCACAUAAGGCUUGCUGUGUUCUCCCCUAGCUUAUUGUCAUUAGAUCAUACCCCUCUUUGUACAUUCAUGUUUCUUUACAACCAUUUACUUCUUUCAUCAGACUUCACUUAAAAUACACAAUUUUCUCUGGGUCUUCAUUUCUAAAGGCUUUCAUGUUAUGUCAAACUUUGGUUAAUUAAAUUUGCUAUACUUUUCGCUUGUUAAUUUGUUUUUUUGCUUUAUCUGUCCUACAUUGCCUAGUAUUUUGGUUAACCUUAUAAUCCUUUGGUAAGCUGACAGCUGCCAACUCUAAGAAAAGUGGAUUUAAAAAAAUAACACCUUCAGCACAGAGACAAGUCUAGACUAGAUCUUGCAGGAAGUGCACAUAGACAGCGGCAAAAACCUGUGGUUUGGAGCAAAAUGGAAAAAAAAAAUCACCAAAGCAAAAUCAUGGUAGUUAGAGGAUUCCAAUAAAGAUCAAAGAUAGGUGAAAAUUGGAGAUUACUCUGCCAGGUCAUAAAGAUGAAGACAAACUUUGUCAGGUAUAUGCUGAAAUGUAUAGGGACAAAUUUCAAUUAAGUGGAUAAUGUUCGGUGGCAUCUUGUUGCCCUUAUGAUGCCAGCCUCUCUCCUAUACCCCAUACCACAAGCUUUCUAUUUUACAGCAAGAGUAAUUAAAGAAUUGCCAUUUGAACAGGGGAGAGACAUGAUCUUUAUCAGUAGCUAACUUUUUUGUUUUAUCUAAAACAUUAAUUCAGCAUGUCAGUGAUUGUUGGGCAUACCAAAUGUAAACAUUCUGGAAGUGGAAAAUGUCAAGAAAUCUCAAAAAUAGUUCUCCCUGAAGUGAAACCAAAGCAGCAAUGUAAGGUAGCCUAUUCUACUGGCUGUGACAGUGGAAGAGUCAGGAAUAAAAUGACUCCGAUCCUCAGUCUACUGUCCCAGGGGUACAACUACAUCAAAUGAGCUUUUCAGAGCCUACAGCCCUAAUUUGUCAAAUGGAAAAUCCUUUAUUGGUACCUUAGAGAGCAGCUGUGUAUUUCAGUAUGAUAACACAUUCUUUUGUGUUAUUUCAAGUAAUAGUAAAAAUAAAACAACAAACAAAUAAAACCCAUGUUAUUUCCACUUUCUUAGUCUUUGUAGUUCAUUCUAACAGUAAAACAAUAAAAACACAAUGGGUCUUUUCAGGAUGAUACCAUUAAAAUCAACAAUUUAAUGUUUAAUGUUAGAUAUAUAUUUGUAGUAAACUACAAUAAAAGCAAGAGAAUAACAAAUAUAAUAUUGGAAUUAAGCUUGGAAGUGAGGUAGUAGAUUCUUUCAGUAAGGGGCGUGUGGAAGCUGUAAUAUAUUGAUAAUGUUCUAUUUCUUACAUUAAUGCUGACUUAGUGUUCACCUUCAUAUACUGCAUAUCUUGUAGAGCUAUAUAUAAGAGCUAUAUACAUUUAUUUAGAUGUAAGAAAUAUUUUAGAAAUUUUAAGAAUUGUCCUGCAAAAACACACUAUAGACAAACAGAGCAAUGGAACAGCAUAGAGUCCAGAAAUAGAACUAAAUAAAUAUAUUUUGGGGGCCAGGCAUGGUGGCUCAUGCCUGUAAUCCUAGCACUUUGGGAGGUCAAGGCAGGUGGAUCACCUGAGGUCAGGAGUUCAGGACUAGCCUGGCCAACAUGGUGAAACCCCAUCUCUACUAAAAAUAUAAAAAGUCAGCCCAGCGUGGUGAUGGGUGCCUGUAAUCCCAGCUACCUGGGAGGCUGAGGCAAGAGAAUUGCUUGAACCUGGGAGCCGGAGGUCUCAGUGAGCUGAGAUCAUACCAUUGCACUCCAGGCUGUGUGACAGGGCCUGACUCUGUUUCAAAAAUAUAAAUAAAUAAAAAUUUGAAAAAAUCAAAUGAAUGUAUUUUGUGACUUUGUUCCCUGGCAAAUAAACAAAAACAAUACAAUGGAGAAAAUAUAGAUCUUUCAACAGAGUGUACUAAAACACUUUGAUAUUCACAUGGAACAAACAAAACAAAAGAAAAACAAAAAGAAUCUAGACCCAGAAUCUACAUCCUUCACAAAAUUUAACUUAAAGUAGUUCAUAGCCUAAAUGUAAAAUACAAAACUAUAGAACUCCUAGAAGAUAACAUAUAGAAGAAAAUCCAGAUGACUUUCGGUUUGAUGAUGACUUUUAAGAUACAAGACAAAAGGAGCAAUACAUGAAAGAAACAAAUAAGAAGUUGGACUUGAUUUCAAUUAAAAACUUCUGAGAAUGGGAGUGGUGGCUCACAACCAAAAUCCCAAUAGUUUGGAAGAUAGUAGAACUGCUUGAGCCCGUAGUUUGAACCAGCUUGGACAACAUGGUGAGAUGCUGUCUCCACAAAAAAUAAAUUAAACAAUUAGGUGGGCUUGGUGGUUCUCACUUGCAGUUCUAGCUACUUGAGAGGUUGAGGCAGGGGGAUCACUUGAGCUUAGGAGCUUGAGGCUGCAGUGAGCCGUGAUUGCACCACUGCACUCCAGCCUAGGAAACAGUGAGACUCUCUCUCUAAAAAACAAAAACAAAAAACAAAAAAAACUUGAGUGAUAUUGGCAAGACAGCAGACUAAGAAGUUAUAGAAUCUUUUUCUGCCACAGAGAUAUUCAGUUACAACAAUAUAUAAACUAGAGCAGCUCUAUGAGAGUACCUUGGCCAUUGUGAAACCAAGAAUAGUUCCCAGAGAAAGGGGUGAAAAAUUUGUGGUGCUUGCCACACUUCCCCAAUGUAAUGUAGUAUAGAGCAACUGGGAGGAAGCCCUCCACACAGAGAUCAUCUCUUGGAAUGGAGAUAAAAAAGUAGACUGUGUGUACAACAUUUCGGCUUGUCUGAAGGAUAUAUUAGGGAUUGAUUGAUGUCUUCCUUGACUUAAAGCACUAACAGAUCAAUGGAGUUCAGAAGCUGCUGAAUAACAGGCAAGCACCACUGCAUGUUAGAUCUGCAGUUCUAAAGAGAGAUAUUAGUGAGAGCAAGCAAUUUAAAAAGAUUUGAGAGGUCCAAGAACCUCUAGCCUGGCUGAUUGACAAAGGCUUUCCUCUGCACAAAGCCAGUUACAUAAAGAUUGUGAGAGGCAGUCAUUUUUGUUAAGUGCCCAAAUUCUGGCAAAAGAUACAAGGCAUGUUAAAAACUAGAAAACAUGGUCAAAUCAAAGAAACCCAAAACUCCAGAAAUUAAGACUAAUAAAUGCAAUCUGUGAGCUGUCUGAAAAAGAAUCUAAAAUAACUCUUAUAAAGAUAUUAGUGAACUAGAACACAUAACCAACUAGAUGAAAUCAGAAAAAAAUGCAUGAACAAAAUGAGAAUAUCAACAAAGAUAUGGGAAGCAUAAAAAAGGAUAAAAUGGAAAUUCCACAGUUGAAAAUAUCAUAAGUAAACUGAAAAAAAUUAUUAGAGAUCUCAACAGCAGACUUAAUAAGGCUGAAGAAAGAAUAAGCAAAACUUGGUAACAGCCUAUUUGAAAUCAUUGAGUAAAAGGGUCAAAAACAAAAAAGGAAGAAAAGAAAAGAGAAUCCAAGGGCCUUUCAGACAUUCAAGAAGACUAAUAUGCACAUUAUAAAAAUCCCAGAAGAAGAAUAGAAAAAGAGGAGGACAGCUUAUUUAAGAAAAUAAUGGUCAGAAACUUCACAAAUUUGAGAGAAGAAGUGGUGAUAUAGUUUCAAGACUCUCAAAGAACUCCAACUAGAACAAAUCCACAUUGAACUACACACAGACACAUCAUAAUCAAACUGUCUAAACUCAAAGACAAAAAACAAUCUUGAUAGCAGCAGGAGAAAAGCGAAUUUAUAAUCUAUAGGGGAGCUUCCAUAGAUAUCAGCAUAUUUCUCAACAGAAACUGCGUGGACCAUAAAGGAGUGGGAUAACAUAUUCAGCAUGUUGAAAUACUGUAUGCAGCAAAACUGUUUUUUGAAAAUGAAAAAGAAAUAAAGACUCUCCUAGAUGAACCAAAACUGCACAACUACAUUACAAAUAGACCUCUUUAAAAGAAAUGCUAAAGGAGGUCCUUUAAGUUGAAACAAAUGGGUAUCAGACAGCAAUACAAAGCUACACACAAAAUAUAAAAAAUAUAUUUAUUACCCAUAAAGGCAAAUAUAAGGACAAAAAUGGUAGCUUGUACUAUUGUUAAUUCUGUCACAAAACCCAAAACAAUUUUAUAAAAAAAUAACAAAGUGGGAGGAGUUCUACUUCCUUUUUAAAAAUGUAUUACAAAGCCACAUAAUUAAAACAGCAUGGUACUGACAUACUGACAUAAGGCAGAAAAAAUACCAAUGAAAGAAAAUGAAAAGCCUAGGAAUAAAUACGUAUAUGGUUGAUAUGGUUUGGAACUGUGUUCCUGCCCAAAUCUCUUGUCAACUGUAAUCUCCAAUAUUGUAGGUGAGGUCUGGUGGGUGGAGAUUGACUUGUUGGGGUGGAUUUCCCCAUUGGUUCUGUUAUCAUCAUAGUGAGUGAGUUUUUCUGUGAUCUGGUUGUUUAAAAGUGUGUAGCACCUCCCACUUUCUUUUUCCUGCUCAAGCAAUGUAAGACAUGCCUGCUUUCUUUUCACUUUCCGCCAUGAUUGAAUUUCCUGAGGACUCCUCAGAGGCCAAACAGAUGCUAGCAUCAUGCUUCCUAUACAGCUUGUGGAACUGUGAGCCAAUUAAUCUGCUUUUUAAAUGAAUUACCCAGCCUCAGAUAUUUCUUUAUUUGUUUCUCCCAUUUCUUGUUAAUUACCCAGUCUCAGUGUGAGAAUGGACUAACACAAUGGUCUAAUACAAUAGCAGUGUGAGAAUGGACUAAUACAAUGGUCAAGUGAUGUUUGACAAGUGAGUCAAAACCAAUGAAUGAGAAAAAGACAGUCUCUUUAAUAAAUGGUGCUGGGAAAAUAGGAUGUCAACAUGCAAAAGCAUGAAGUUAGACCCUUAUAUUACACCAUAUGCAAACUAACUCAAAAUGAAUUAAAGUCCUUCAUGUAAGACAUAAAAUUACAGAACUCCUAGUAGAUAACACAGCAAAAAAAUUCAUGACAUUAACAUUGGCAUAAAUUCUUUAAUAUAAUACCAAAAGCACAGGCAGCAAAUGUGAAAAUAGACAAAUAGGACUACAUCAAAGUUAAAUAAAAAUAUUUUGUGCACAAAGAACUCAAAAGACUGAAAAGGCAACCUAUAGAAUGAAAGAAAAAUUUACAAAUCAUGUGUUUGAUAGGAGAGUAACAUCCAGAAUAUACAAAUACUCUCACAACUCAACAAAAUAUCAAAUAACUCAGUUUUAAAAUGGACAAAUGACUUGAAUAAACGUUUUUCCAAGAUGAUGUAUCAGUGGCCAAAAAACAUACGAACAGAUGCUCAACAUCACUAAUUAUCUAAGAAAAGCAAAUCACAACCAAAAUGAGAAAGUCAUCUUACAACCAUUAUAAUAGCUACCACAAGCAACAACAAUAAAAACUUAAAAGCAAAAAAUGAAUAGAACCAACAAAACAAAACAAAAAAACCCACAGAAAGAAAACAAGUGUUGGUAAGGAUAUGAAGAAAUUGGAAUCCUGUACACUGCUGAUGGGAUUGAAAAUGAUUCAACUCCUAUGAAAAAUGAUAUGAAAUUCUCUUAUAAAAUUAAAAAUAGAUAAGCAUAUGAUCCAGCACUCUUACUUCUAAGUAUAUACACAAAAGAAUUAGAAACAUGGUCUCACAGAGAUUGUUUACAGUAGCACUGUUCAUUACAGCCAAGAGGUGGAAGCAACCCAAAUGUUUACUGAUAAAUGACUAGAUUAACAAAAUGUGGUCUACGCAUACAAGGGGAUAUUGUUCAACCCUUAAAGGAAAUUCUGUCAUGUGCUAAAACAUAGGCAAACCUUGAGAACAUUAUGCUAAGUGAACUAAGCCAAUGCAUAAAGAAAUAUACUGAAUAAUUCCACUAAUAUGAGGUAUACAAAGUAGUCAUAUUCUUAGAAAGCAAAACGUUAAUUAGCAAGAAAUGAAGGAAAAAGAAAGGAGAGUUGUUGUUUAAUGGGUAAGAGGUUCAGAUUUGCAGGAUAAAACAGUUUUUAAAAUCUGUUUCACAAGAAUGUGAAUAUACUUACACUCCUGACCUAUAUAGUUAAAAACUGUUAAGAUGAUAAAUUUUAUGUUACAUUUUUUUUUUUACCGUAAUAAUAAUAUAUUUACAACUUCUGCUCUGUGAAACAUACUGUUAAGAGAAUGAGAACACAAUCAAGAGACUAGGACAAAAUAUUUGCAAAAGGAUAUUUGAUUAAUAAUUGUUAUCCAAAAUAUAUAAACAACUCUUAACACUCAAUAAUAAUGAAAAAAAAAAAAAAAACUAAAGCCUGGGCAAAAAAUGAAAAGGUACUUCACCAAAGAAGAUAUACAGAUAGUAAAGAAGAAGUAUAGGAAAAUAUACUUAACUUAUCAUUAGGAAAAUGAAAAUUAAAACAGCAAUGAGAUACCACUGCACUUCAAUUAGAAUGAUGAUAAUUAAAACACUGACAAUACUAAUGCUGGUCCGGAUAUGGAGUAUGUGGAGGAACAGAAACUCCCACUCAUUGGUGGUGAAAUUAAAAAUGCUACAAUUACUUUGAAAGACAGUUUGGCAGUUUUUUUUACAAAGCUAAAUAUACUCUUAACACAUAAUUCAGCAAUUAUGCUUCUUGACAUUUUCUCAAGUGAGUCGAAAACUUAUGUCAACACACAAACCUGCACAUGGAUGUUUAUAGCAACUUUAUUCGUAAUUGCCACAACUUGGAAACAACCAGCAUGCCCAACUGGUGAAUGAAUAAACAAACUGUGAUACAUCCCUGCAAUGUAAUAUUAUUGAGCACUAACAAUAAGUGAGCUAGCCAACCAUUAAAAGAUAUAGAGGAAACUUAUAUUAAGUAAAAGAAGCCAAUCUGAAAAGGCCACAUAUUACAUAAUUCUAGCUACAGGCAUAUCUUGAAGAUAUUGUGGGUUUAGUUCUAUCUCAAUAAAGAGAGUCAUAAAUUUUUAGUUUUACAGUAGAUAUAAAAGUUAUGUUUAUACUAUACUGUAGUCUAUUGGUGUGCAAUACAAUUUUGUCUCAAAAUAGAUAUACAUACCUUAUUGAAAAAACUUUAGCUAUCAAUCAUCUAGGCCAUCAGCAAACAGCAAUUUUUUUUUUUUUCCUGAUAGAAGGUCUUACCUUGAUAAGAGAAAGAAAACAUAAACAAGAAACUGAGAGAAAGUAUUUGAUACAUAUUGAUGGCUACUGACUGAUCAGGGUAGUGGUAGCUAAAGCAACAGAAGGCUGUGGCAAUUUUUUAAAAUAAGAAAAGAAUAAAGUUUGCCACAUUGAUUGACACUUUCUUUUACAACAGACUUCUCUGUAGCAUGCCAUACUGUUUGAGUAGAACUUCUUUUAUGCUUUAUGAGAGUCAGCCUGCCCUUUGAAGCUUUGAAGCCAGGAUUGGUUUCUCUCUAGCCAUGAAAUCAUUGAGAAUUGAAGUCAGUUCUCUCAAACUCUCCCUCUUCUUUAUCAACUAAAUCUAUAUAAUUUUCUAAAUCCUUUGGUGUCAUUUCAACAAUGUUCUCAGCAUCUGCACCAGCAGUAGAUUCCCUCUCAAGAAGCCAUUUUCUUUGCUCAUCAAUGAGAAGCAACUUCUCAUCACUUCAAAUUUUAUCCUGAGGUUGCAGCAAUUCAGUCACAUCUUCAGGCUCCACUUCCAAUUUUAGUUCUUUUGCUAUUUCUAUCAAAUCUGCAGUUACUUUCUCCACUGAAUUACUCAACUCCUCACACUCAUCUCUGAGUGUUCCAGUGAACUUCUUCCAACUUUAUUAAUCCUUCUUCCAUUAAUUACAAAUGUUCUAAAUGGCAUUUAGAAUGGUGAAACCUUUCCAGAAAAGUUUUCAAUUUAUUUUUCUCAGCUCCAUCAGAGUAAUCUUUAUGAUAGCUAGAGCCUUACAAAAUAUAUUUUUUAAGUAAUAAGACUUGAAGGUCAAAAUUGCUCCUUGAUUUAGCAAAAUAGAGAUUGUAUUAGCAGGCAUGAAAACAACACUAAUCUCCUUGUACAUCUCUGUCAGAGUUCUAGGGUAACCAGGUAUCUUGUUGGUGAGCAGCAAUAAUUUGAAAAGAAUCUUUUUUUCUGAGCAGCAGGUCUUAACACUGAUCUUAAAAUAUUCAGAAAACAUUGCCAUGAACAAAUGUGCAUAGCUUUUAAAGUCCCUAAGAGUUUUGGAAAGAUCAGUGAGCAUUGACUUCAACCUAAAGUCACCAGCUACAUUAGCCCCUAACAAGAGAGUUAGCCUACUCUUUGAAGGUUUGAAGCUAGGUAUUGACUUCUAUCCAUGAAAUCCUUGAUGACAUCUGCUUCUGAUAGAAGGCUGUUGGUCCACAUUACAAAUUUGUUGUUUAGUGUAGCCGCCUUUAUCAUUUGUCUUAGCUAGACCUUUUGGAUAAUUUGCUGCAGCUUCUACAUCAGCACUUGCUGCUUCACUUUGCACUUUCAUGUUAUAGAGAUGAUUUCUCUUCUCUAAUCUCAUGUAUCAACCUCUGCUAACUUCCAACUUUUCCUCUAGAGCUUCCUCACCUCUCUCAGUCUUCACAGCAUUGAAAGGAGUUAGGGUCUUGAUCUGCAUUAGGCUUUAGCUUAAAGUAAUAUUGUGGCUAGUUUGAUCUUUUGUUCAGACCACUCAUGAGCAAUAAGACCAUUUUAUUUUAUCACUCAGUGUUCACUGGAGUAGCACUUUUAAUUUUUUUCAAGAAUUUUUUCUUUUCUUUGCAAUUAUAAUAUGACUAACUAUUUGAUAUAAAAGACCUAGUUUUUGGCUCAUCUCAGGUUUCAACAGUUUUUCCUCUCUAAGCUUUAAAAUUUCUAGAUUUUGGUUUACAAUGAGAAAGACAUAUGACUUUUUCACUUGAACACUUAGAGACCUAUAAGGUUACCAAUUAAAUGAAUUUCAAUAUUGUGUCUCAGGGAAUAGGCAGAAACCAGGAGAGGGAGAGAGAUGGAGGAGCGGCCAGUUGGUAGAGCAGUCAGAACACAAACAAAUACAUGUAGAAUAAGCUUGCUAUUUUGUAUGGGCACAAUUCAUGGUGCUCCAAAACAAUCACAAUAGUAACAUCAAAGAUCAAAGAUCAUAAAUUACCAUAACAAAUAUAAUAAUAUGAAAAUUUCUGAAAUAUUUUGAGAAUUACCAACCCGUGACACAGAAACAUGAAAUGAGCCAUAAUGUUGGGAAAACGGUCCUGAUAAAGUUGCUUAGUUACUGCAGGGUUGCUACAAACCUUGAAUUUAUAAAAAAUGCAAUCUGUGAAGUGCAAUAAAGCAAAUGCAAUAAAACUCUAGGUGUGUCUAUAUAUGACAUUUUGUGAAAGGCAAAACUAUGAAGACAGUAAAAAGAUCAGUUGUUGCCAGGGGUCUCGGGGGAAAGAAGUAUGAAUAGACAGAGUAUAGAGAAAUUUUAGGGCAGUGAAACUAUUCUUUAUAAUUUUUUUUGAGGCAGAGUUUUGUUCUUGUUGCCCAGGAUGGAGUGCAAUGGCACAAUCUCUGCUCAUGGCAGCUUCCAUCUCCUGUGUUCAAGAGAUUCUCCUGCUGCAGCCUCCCAAGUAGCUGGGAUUACAGGCCUGCACCACCACGCCUGGCUAAUUUUUUGUAUUUGGUAGAGAUGGAGUUUCCCAUGUUGGUCAGUCUGGUCUCAAACUCCUGACCUCAGGUGAUCCACCCACUUCGGCUUACCAAAGUGCUGAGAUUACAGGCAUGAGCCACCAUACCCAGCCUGUUCUUCAUAAUAUUAUAAUGUAAAACAUAAUUUAUUAUACAUUUGUUGAAACCCAUAGAAUGAACAACACCAAGAGUGAGACCUAAUGUAAAUUAUGCAUUUGAGAUGACAAUGAUGUGUCAAUGAAGGUUCAUCAAUUGUAACAAAUGUACCACUCUUUGUGGGGGCAGGGAGUAUGUUGAUUAUGGAAAGGCUGUCUGUGUGUAUAGGCUGGAGGCGUGUGGAAACUGUCUAUACUUUCUACUCAAUUUUGUUGUGAACCUAAUAGUACUCUACAAAAUAAAGUCUAAUUAAAACAUGUUAAGACAGAAAUGCUCUUUAUCAAAGAUGGUAUGAUGUAUUUGAAAUAAAGGCAUAGAAACCAACAAUUACGUUAGCAUAUGUUUUAGUGCUGCUGAUAAAGGCAUUUGACUUUAGUGUGUUCACGGGAAGAUUUCACUUUGAUUCUGACAUUUUGUGUUUUUAAAAGGAAUAAAGGAGAAAGCAUGCAAUAGAGAAUAGCAUAAGAAAGACAAAGGAAGAAUGUGCAUUUCAUAUGUUUAGAGCAGCUAUUUGUGUAAGAGCCGGUCCCCCCGCCAAAACAAAACAAAACAAAAAACACCUGGAGAAACAGGAGAAUAAGGAGACAAGUGAAUGAAUUUGAAAAGUGGCCAUCACUAUUCAACAGAAGAUGUUGGGCAAUUCAUUGUAUGUCUCUGAAACUCAGUUUUCUCAUCUGUAAAAAUCAAAGGGCAAUUGAAGACAUGGGAAGAUCAGAUGAUUCACUCAGUCUUAAAACUGAGAUUCCUCAGACUCUGUUCCUCAUGAUACACAUGGAGAAAAAACUCAUUAAAAAUUCAUUAAAUAAGUACAUGCCACUUCUUUUAUUCAUCAGCCAAAUCUAGGUGGCAAAUGGAUUGCUUCCCAAAUAACAAAAACUGAUGGGUGAGAAGGACCUGUGCUUUUGCCUCAUCCACCUCUCAGAGCCGCAGCAUGGUUUACUUUUAACAGUUGGUUCAGGUAACAACAGUUUAUUGUCAGAGUUAUUACUGCAUAACUCUAAGGAUGAUCAUGCAGAGUUUAAUUUUUUAGUAGUUUUGGCAUUAAUAUUUUAUUAUAACUUUCUGAGAGGUAGGUUAGCAUGGCAGACCCUUACUGAGUAAUUAAUGGCCUGCGGUCUCCUGCAGGGGAUGAGCCAUAUGGUGAGGGAAAAGACACAUGGAAGAGGGAAGAGGGGAAAAGUUUAAAUAAGAGAAGAGUCUAUCUUCACAUGAAAACACAGACAUGCAGAGCUUAUCAGCUUUAAGGGACGGAGAAACAGGAAGUCAAAAGUGUGCCAUCCAAAAUGUUCACUGGGAUAAUUUUGUUGUAAGAAAAACAGCAUAAGACAUGAGUAGUAAACACAUGCUUGUUUGCUGUUCUUUAAAAUACAAUGAAAAUGACAGUAAUUUUCUUGAGACUAUUCUAGUGUUAGACACUAGAGUAAAUACUUUUCUUAUAUAGUAUCCCAUUUUAUGCUUAUAACAAUCCUUUGAAGUAUGUGCCACUAUAUGUCACCAUUUUAAAGAUGAUGAAAUAGGAUUUAGCAAGAAUUAGUGAUUUACCCAAGGUCACACAACUGCUAAAUAGGAGAAAAAGAUGUGAACACAGGUGUUCUCUCAAAAAUUAUCCUUCUUAUGUCACCCAAUUUUGGGGGUGUGUUCUUUCUUAGCUCACUGCUUCAGUAUUUAAGUCUAAAGUCAGCCAGAGCAACAGCUAACUAUGUAAGGGAAGAGAUCAGAAGCCAGGCUGUUUUCCCCCAGUGUUUCACACUUGCUCAUUUAUAUCUUCUGGAACUAAUGAGAUGGAAAGAUGUAAAAUAUGUCAGGCAGCCAAUAUUUAAAUUAAUUUCAAGACUACACUGCAAGCUUAGCCAAAUAUGUACUGAGUAUUCUAUUGUUCGCUUCAGAUUUGUAGUUAGGCUCCUAAUCAAUCCUGCUCACUGAAGAUCUAUGUGGUGAGUGACACAUGAUAGCAUAACACAAAUAUCAUGCACCACAGAAACGCUGCAAGUUAGAGCAAUAUGGGUAACGAUUAACAAAUUCCCACCAAAAUUAAAGCCUGAAACUAGAGCUCAUUUCUUACUCAUAAAAUUAAGUAAUUCAAAAUCUCCAGAAACCUCCUCCACAAUUUUUUUUUCUCAGCCAUUUCUCAACUAGAAGGAUUACUGAGAUUUCUGAUGGAAGCUAGUACCCGUCAGCAGAUUCAGUCUGGAGGCGUCAUUCCUUGCAUCUAUGGUAAAUAUUAUAAAGCUUUCAACACUGGAAUAAUCAAACCCUAAGCUACUCAUGUGUUCCAAUUUCAAAUUUUUAAAAAAUAGUACUCCAAAAAAUAACAUAUAUGCA
Molecule: non-coding RNA, 17287 nt
Organism: Callithrix jacchus (white-tufted-ear marmoset)
Lineage: Eukaryota; Metazoa; Chordata; Mammalia; Primates; Cebidae
Source: RefSeq, a predicted model, not a curated record